UACUCCCCUCCUUCCCUUCUCCCCUCUCCACCCACGCAACCCUAAAUUCAAUUAAUUCUCCAAUUCCCACUUCGACGGCCACCGUCCCCCUCCCCUACCUCUAGUUUCAAUUCUUCUUCUCUACACGAAGACACCCAAAUCUUGCAGGAUGUCAGGGUCUCCAGGCUGGAUGUGGGUAGGGGUCCGAUUCGGGAGCGCCCAACGGUAUGAAUUCCGGGUCGGAUUCGGGAAGAUCCACGUCGGCGUCAGAUUUCGAGGGAAGGGUUGGAGGCCGUGACGGGAUCCGGAGGAGGAGGCGUAGAGAUAUGCGGCCUUGGGCUUGGCGUGUUGGAGGAUUGGGCUCCGUGAAUAACUUCAUGCAGUGACGUCUCUUGGCUGGGGUUGGGUUUUGGGGUGUGGAGGAUGGGGUUGGGUUUUGGGUUUUGGGAUGAGGAGGAUAAGGGUUUGGAGCAGGAGUUUGCUGCGGAUUUGCGAUGGUGAAGACGGAGAUGGGGCUGCUGGGGAUUUGCUACUUGUUCGAAAUGGGGAUGGGAAAAACCCUUAGUUUUUUUUUCUUUAAAUUUUUGUUUUUUUUUUAAGUUUUAAUUUAUUAUUAUUUUUUUAAUUUAAUUUAUUUUAGUUUUAUUAUUUUAUUAUUUUUAAUGUCCAAGUGGGACAUUUAGUCAUUGUUCACGUGGACGCUACGUCAUCAGUUAAAGGAAGUUUUGACGGAAAACU
Malus domestica (apple) is the source of this 717-nucleotide long non-coding RNA. RefSeq lists it as uncharacterized. Lineage: Eukaryota; Viridiplantae; Streptophyta; Magnoliopsida; Rosales; Rosaceae. The record is from RefSeq and is a predicted model, not a curated record.